This 325-nucleotide ribosomal RNA is filed under the name uncultured eukaryote. RNAcentral's name for it is "partial 18S ribosomal RNA". It matches the Rfam family "Eukaryotic small subunit ribosomal RNA", at positions 1470 to 1796 of the family's 1831-position model. The record is from RNAcentral.
CCCUUAGAUGUCCUGGGCCGCACGCGCGCUACACUGACGAGUUCAACGAGUUUCCCCUUGGCCGAGAGGCCUGGGCAAUCUUUUGAAUGCUCGUCGUGAUAGGGAUAGAUUAUUGCAAUUAUUAAUCUUGAACGAGGAAUUCCUAGUAAACGCAGAUCAUCAAUCUGCAUUGAUUACGUCCCUGCCCUUUGUACACACCGCCCGUCGCACCUACCGAUUGAAUGAUCCGGUGAAGCCUCGGGAUUGUGGCCAGUUUGCUUUGUUGCGAGUUGGUCGCGAGAACUUGUCUAAACCUUAUCAUUUAGAGGAAGGUGAAGUCGUAACA